AAAGCAGAUUGGGCAAUCGCGGUGUCUUCAUGGCAUCGAGGAAGGUCCGGACUCCAUAGAGCAGGGUAACGGUUAACGACCGUCCGGCUGAACAUGCGCGUAAGCGCUUGAUUCAGUUGAGGACUAGGGCCACAGAGACGAGUCUGCGGUGGGGGUGUGCCUUCGGGCGUACUCCGUUACGGUGUAGCCGUGAUGAUGGGUUUGACUUGUUCAAAUCCGACAACGCAGGGUGAAACGCGGCAACCUCUACCCGGAGCAACAUCAAAUAGGCAUGCGUGUGGUCUUUGAUCACGACGGGCGGCUCGCUCAAGUAUGCGGGUAGGUGGCUAGAGCACAUCAGCAAUGCUGUGCCCAGAGGAAUGAUUGCCAACCAGAGCAAUCUGGUUUACAGAAUCCGGCCUAUAGAUCUGCUUUGCAC
RNAcentral lists this RNase P RNA (418 nucleotides) under Burkholderiaceae bacterium. RNAcentral's name for it is "RNase P RNA component class A". It matches the Rfam family "Bacterial RNase P class A". Rfam says of the family: Ribonuclease P (RNase P) is a ubiquitous endoribonuclease, found in archaea, bacteria and eukarya as well as chloroplasts and mitochondria. Lineage: Bacteria; Pseudomonadati; Pseudomonadota; Betaproteobacteria; Burkholderiales; Burkholderiaceae. The record is from RNAcentral.